Molecule: transfer RNA, 50 nt
Filed under: Orobanche cernua var. cumana
Lineage: Eukaryota; Viridiplantae; Streptophyta; Magnoliopsida; Lamiales; Orobanchaceae
Description: partial tRNA-Leu
Source: RNAcentral
UAUAAAUUUAAUUGUUGCCAGUAUUGACAUGUAUUGACAUGUAGAAUGGG